CGCUCACAGGGCAGAACCAGACGAGCCUCACUGGAGGCAAACUGGGAGUCGUCUCUGCCUUGAACCUUGGAAACAAGUGCUUUCAACAUAAGCGAUGUGAAGGCAUUAAAACAUGUUGAAUGGCUGUGUGCACAGGAUAUCCUACACCUGCCUGACAUCUGGAAUGCAGGUGAAGCAACCUGACCUGAUGGAGCCACCCACACUUUAGAAGAAUCUCAAAUACAGCCAACCCUGAUCUUCCUCAGCUGAAAAUCAUCCAUCUACCAAACUCACAAAUUAAACAUAACGUAAAUAUUAUUACGUUAUGCCUUGUGUUGUGGUGUUAGGCAUGCACAGAUCUGGGUUUAUCCCCUUGUGCUAGACAGUAAGUCACUUGGUUUGAGUCUGUCUGUUUCAGUGACCCUUUUCUCUAAAGCAUUUAGUUAACAUGAUGGCUGACAUCAGCGAGAACUCAGUAAAUGUGGAUUAAAUGAGAAAAUUCAAAAGAAUGAUUACUUACCUUUUUAAAGUUAUCAAUGAAUUCUAUACAAAUAACAACUUAAAGGUCACUAUGUUUCCAGGAAGUUUGGGUGGAGAGCAGAGGAUUGGUUUUCUAGACAGAGAACUUGUUAGACUGAAACAAAUCUUUCUGUGGAAAGUGUUGGGUUGCUGGCCUGAAUCCUGGCUGCUAUAGGGUCCCUGCCUCUUUCUUGGGCCCCUGACCUUAGAAGAAUCUUCCUUCAGAUAAGAAGAGGAGGCAGCUCCAAGUUUACGGCAAACCACCAGCCUCACACACCACUCCCAACCCACCCUUUUUCCAGACUUUAAAACAUCCCAGAAAAGGAUCAUGGUUGCUCCAGCCUGGACCAUGAGCUGCUGAGCAGUCGCUGAAAAUCCCUUCAACAAAAUGACAUAGCUGAUGUGAGUAAAUAGUAAUUCCUUGAAGGAAGAGAAAUUCUAUUUCCAGGGGAAUGACUGCUUGACAGAUAAAAAGAGACACAAGUAUCCCCACAUCUUGGAAUUUGACCUCUAGCCGCCACAAUUGACUAUAUUUGUCAUCACCUUCUUCUUGUCCAGCUGAACUCCUAAACCUGCCACCCCACCCCUAGCUAAGCUAAUAACAUGAAACUGUGCCCCAAAAGAUAGUGAAUAUUUACUGAAAUGCAAAACCAAGAGUUAUAAACUAUAGCCACAGACAAGACUUCUUAAAUGCAGGAAGUUUUGAAUAAGUGGGCACAAGUUAAUACAAUCAAAGAAAAACAAUAUUUGAUAUUUUGGACAUGAGCCCAAUGUGCUGGCGUAUAUGUGUGUGUGAGUGGGCAGGUGGAUGGGGGAAAUCUCACUAAUGAUGGGUGUCAUCAGGAAAGAAAAUCCAAAAACAAAACUACCAUUCAUUUGUACAAUUAACAAUUAGAAAGUGACAAAUGUUUAAUAAUACACUUGGAGUGAUACAUGGUUGUACCUGACCUCAGAAAACUCAUGGCACAACUAAGAAGACAGAGACAUAGACAUAAACAUGUCACAUAGCUUGAGUUCUAGUUGGAGGAUUAAAAGUAUUAUACAAGUACAGAGAUCUAAGAGUUCUGCAGAAGAAAGAUGAUGUUUUAUAAGAAAGUUCCUCGGAGUGGGUCAUUUGAGCUGGGAUUUGAAGGCUAAAUAGGAGUAUGUCAGGUGUGCUUCAUAUCAGCAACUAACAAAAUCAAAGAGACAGAGAAACUGCUGUAGUUGUUAAAGUGACCCCAUCUCUACAAAAACUACAAAAGUUAUCCACGGGUGGUGACACACCCCUGUGGUCCCAGCUACUUAGGGGUGCUGAGGUGGGAGGAUGACUUGAGCCCAGGAGGUUGAGUGUUCAGUGAGCUGUGAUUGUACCACUGCACUCCAGCCUGAGUGACAGAGUGAGACCCUGUGUCAAAGAAAAAAAAAAAAAAAGAAGUGACAGAAAAGUAUAAGUGAUAAGUAGGACAAACCUACCACAUAUUGAAAUAAUAGAAGACAAGCACCUUUUGCUGGAAAAGCAUCACUGCGGGAAGAAUUCCUUCCAUAUAAUUACCAAGAAGUCACUAUUCCAUCAAAUGCAACCGAGAGCCACCGAAGUACCAAGAAAUAAGCAAAUCGGCCUCUAAAAGACCACCACAGCCCACCCCACACAAUCACAUAAAAAUCCAGUUACUAAUGCUUCCACUUUCCUCUCCAGUGAGACUGCUAGAUAUGCUUAUAUCUGACUUUAAAUAUAAUCCUAAUAAAUAUGCUCACCUGAUCUUCCUGUCCACAGCAAAUGGCAAAUAACAAAUCUGGAAAUGUAAGCAGAGUAGCAGCAUUAUGAAAUAACAGCUAAUAUUCCUGCCCUGACCCCAAAGAAAGCAGAACCAAUAGUUUUAAACCUCAGCAGGAAGCAUUCAUUUAAGAAGAAACAGCUCUAUACACAGCUGAGUAGCCACUGGAGGUGUUAUUUUGCUUUGUAUCCUGAUAUUCAUCAAGCAUGUGAGUCUCCAAGAAAAGUUUAGACCUUGUUGAUUAAACAGUAAAGGAUGAUGAGAGGCUUAUUCAGAAGAUUCCCUUUCAGUAUGGUUAAUUGCAGAUUUUUACCAUGUAAAAUAACCAGAUUAAAAAGUCUUCUCAUACCAUACUCCCCUCCUUCCACCUCCAAGCUUUGGUGGGUGCACCUGUUAGGCCUUGCAGUGCCCCUGUGAGCAUGCACCCUCACCACCCUCCUCCAGCUGACCGUAAGUCACUUGAGGGCAAGUCAUUUAUAUUCAUGUAACAUUUAUAGUUUGUCCCCAGUGCUUAGUUCAAAUGCCUUGGCACAUAAUGGGUAUUCAAAAAGGGUUUAUAUAAUGGACAAAGGAAAAUGAAGUGAUUGUAACACUUUUAAAGAAGAUUUAUAUUAAAAAUGAAUGAGCUUCCCACUACACGAACACUUCUUUUGCACUCACCAAUGAAAACUAAAAUUGAUUGAUCAUUUACUAGGUCAGGCACUGUUCCAAGCGUUUCACACAUGUGAAUUUAAUCCUCACCACAGUGCUGUGAAGCAGGCACUAUUAUGUUCCCUAUACCAAGGAGGACAGUGAGGCCCAGACAAUGUGCUGUGCCCAGGCAGGCAGCCGGUAAAUGACAGAGGCUGCCUGCACACUCUGGCAGGCUGGCUCCCAAGCCCAUGCCCUAUCCACUCUGUCAUAUACCUCCAGUGUUAUAUUAUUCAUAGAAGACCAAAAAAAGAAACCUAUGCGACUCACUGCUGCUAAAAGGGGUUGAGAACGUCAGUGUAGCUUCCCCGGUUUACAAAAAAAUCUUAGUGGUUGCACAACGUUGUGAAUGUAUGUAAUGCCACUAAGUUGUACACUUAAAAUAGUUACAAUGGUCAUUUUCAUGUUAUGUAUAUUUUACCACAAUAAAACAUUUCUUUUUAAA
RNAcentral lists this long non-coding RNA (3390 nucleotides) under Homo sapiens (human). RNAcentral describes it as "HSALNT0084881". Lineage: Eukaryota; Metazoa; Chordata; Mammalia; Primates; Hominidae. The record is from RNAcentral.